This 427-nucleotide ribosomal RNA is filed under the name uncultured bacterium. Its description in RNAcentral is "partial 16S ribosomal RNA". It matches the Rfam family "Bacterial small subunit ribosomal RNA", at positions 355 to 774 of the family's 1533-position model. The record is from RNAcentral.
UGGGGAAUAUUGCACAAUGGGCGCAAGCCUGAUGCAGCCAUGCCGCGUGUAUGAAGAAGGCCUUCGGGUUGUAAAGUACUUUCAGCGGGGAGGAAGGUGUUGAGGCUAAUAACCUCAGCAAUUGACGUUACCCGCAGAAGAAGCACCGGCUAACUCCGUGCCAGCAGCCGCGGUAAUACGGAGGGUGCAAGCGUUAAUCGGAAUUACUGGGCGUAAAGCGCACGCAGGCGGUCUGUCAAGUCGGAUGUGAAAUCCCCGGGCUCAACCUGGGAACUGCAUUCGAAACUGGCAGGCUAGAGUCUUGUAGAGGGGGGUAGAAUUCCAGGUGUAGCGGUGAAAUGCGUAGAGAUCUGGAGGAAUACCGGUGGCGAGGGCGGCCCCCUGGACAAAGACUGACGCUCAGGUGCGAAAGCGUGGGGAGCAAACA